Molecule: ribosomal RNA, 468 nt
Filed under: uncultured bacterium
Lineage: Bacteria
Description: partial 16S ribosomal RNA
Rfam family: Bacterial small subunit ribosomal RNA
Source: RNAcentral
GACGAACGCUGGCGGCGUGCUUAGCACAUGCAAGUCGAACGGAAAGGCCCUGCUUUUGUGGGGUGCUCGAGUGGCGAACGGGUGAGUAACACGUGAGUAACCUGCCCUUGACUUUGGGUUAACUUCAGGAAACUGGGGCUAAUACCGGAUAGGAGCUCCUGCUGCAUGGUGGGGGUUGGAAAGUUUCGGCGGUUGGGGAUGGACUCGCGGCUUAUCAGCUUGUUGGUGGGGUAGUGGCUUACCAAGGCUUUGACGGGUAGCCGGCCUGAGAGGGUGACCGGCCACAUUUGGACUGAGAUACGGCCCAGACUCCUACGGGAGGCAGCAGUGGGGAAUAUUGCACAAUGGGCGGAAGCCUGAUGCAGCAACGCCGCGUGCGGGAUGACGGCCUUCGGGUUGUAAACCGCUUUCGCCUGUGACGAAGCGUGAGUGACGGUAAUGGGUAAAGAAGCACCGGCUAACUACGUG